ACUCCUGACCUCGAGCAAUCUGCCCGCCUUGGCCUCCCAGAGAUUAUUGCUAAUUGAAAACUUUUCCCAAUACCCCGCCAUGACAACUUGAAAUAUAGUCGGCAUUGGCAAUUUUUGACAGUCUCUAUGGAGA
Molecule: small nuclear RNA, 133 nt
Filed under: Microcebus murinus (gray mouse lemur)
Lineage: Eukaryota; Metazoa; Chordata; Mammalia; Primates; Cheirogaleidae
Description: U4 spliceosomal RNA (ENSMICG00000043034.1)
Rfam family: U4 spliceosomal RNA (bases 45-133)
About the family: U4 small nuclear RNA (U4 snRNA) is a component of the major U2-dependent spliceosome. The structure of U4 snRNA from yeast and human has been reported.
Source: RNAcentral